RNAcentral lists this ribosomal RNA (252 nucleotides) under uncultured bacterium. RNAcentral's name for it is "partial 16S ribosomal RNA". It matches the Rfam family "Bacterial small subunit ribosomal RNA", at positions 524 to 776 of the family's 1533-position model. The record is from RNAcentral.
UACGGAGGGGGCUAGCGUUGUUCGGAAUUACUGGGCGUAAAGCGCACGUAGGCGGCUUUGCAAGUUAGAGGUGAAAGCCCGGGGCUCAACUCCGGAAUUGCUUUGAUACUGGGUAUCUCGAGUCCGAGAGAGGUGAGUGGAAUUCCGAGUGUAGAGGUGAAAUUCGUAGAUAUUCGGAGGAACACCAGUGGCGAAGGCGGCUCACUGGCUCGGUACUGACGCUGAGGUGCGAAAGCGUGGGGAGCAAACAGG